Long non-coding RNA from Homo sapiens (human), 483 nucleotides. Lineage: Eukaryota; Metazoa; Chordata; Mammalia; Primates; Hominidae. The record is from Ensembl.
UUCGGUAAAAUUCCUUCCUCUUACAAAAUCCAGCUCACCCUGCACAGUCAACCUAAUUGUCACCGAAUAUAGGAGAAUGGGGAAACUAGGAUUUGCGUGUUCAAGGGCGGACAAGCCAGUCCAAACAGGCAUUCCAGUCAUUGGGUGGGUGACAGCCAAAGAAGAUCCACCUGGUCACAUCCCAAUUUCCCCAGGGCAUCCGAAGCAGGUCUGAGCAGCCAAGGAUAACUACUUAGUCUCCUGCUAGAAAAUAUCUCAGUUGUUAUCCCCACUUUAUAGAUGGUCAACUUACUUUAUCUAUCUGAUGAUUGGCUCCUACAGCCAGUAAGUGGUGAAGCUGAGAUGUAAUUCCAAGGCUGCUGAUCUCCAAAGCCAGUUGUCUUUCCAAAUAUUAGAAUAUACUAGUGUCUGUGGUCUGUUAAAAAAAAUGAUGACAGUGCCUUUUUAAAUAAAAUUUAAAGCAUGUACAUGAAAAAUACUAAA